AGACAGAGGGUGCAAACGUUGCUCGGAAUCACUGGGCGUAAAGCGGGUGUAGGCGGGUCGACAAGUCUGGUGUGAAAGCCCUGGGCUCAACCCAGGAAUUGCAUCGGAAACUGUCGGUCUUGAGUGCCGGAGAGGGAGGCGGAAUUCCCGGUGUAGAGGUGAAAUUCGUAGAUAUCGGGAGGAACACCAGAGGCGAAGGCGGCUUCCUGGACGGCUACUGACGCUGAGACCCGAAAGCGUGGGGAGCAAACAGGAUUAGAAACCCUAGUAGUCC
This 274-nucleotide ribosomal RNA is filed under the name uncultured bacterium. Its description in RNAcentral is "partial 16S ribosomal RNA". It matches the Rfam family "Bacterial small subunit ribosomal RNA", at positions 523 to 796 of the family's 1533-position model. The record is from RNAcentral.